AUUGAACGCUGGCGGCAUGCUUUACACGUGCAAGUCGAACGGUAACAGGCCUUCGGGUGCUGACGAGUGGCGAACGGGUGAGUAAUGCAUCGGAACGUACCCAGAGGUGGGGGAUAACGCAGCGAAAGCUGUGCUAAUACCGCAUGUGAUCUGAGGAUGAAAGCGGGGGACCGAGCAGCAAUGUUUGGCCUCGCGCCUUUGGAGCGGCCGAUGUCGGAUUAGCUAGUUGGUGUGGUAAAGGCCUACCAAGGCGACGAUCCGUAGCUGGUCUGAGAGGACGACCAGCCACACUGGGACUGAGACACGGCCCAGACUCCUACGGGAGGCAGCAGUGGGGAAUUUUGGACAAUGGGCGCAAGCCUGAUCCAGCAAUGCCGCGUGCGGGAAGAAGGCCUUCGGGUUGUAAACCGCUUUUGGCAGGAACGAAACGGUGUCCGCUAAUACCGGGCGCUAAUGACGGUACCUGCAGAAUAAGCACCGGCUAACUACGUG
RNAcentral lists this ribosomal RNA (492 nucleotides) under uncultured bacterium. Its description in RNAcentral is "partial 16S ribosomal RNA". It matches the Rfam family "Bacterial small subunit ribosomal RNA", at positions 30 to 507 of the family's 1533-position model. The record is from RNAcentral.